This 403-nucleotide ribosomal RNA is filed under the name uncultured bacterium. RNAcentral's name for it is "bacterial SSU rRNA". It matches the Rfam family "Bacterial small subunit ribosomal RNA", at positions 355 to 775 of the family's 1533-position model. The record is from RNAcentral.
UGGGGAAUAUUGGACAAUGGGCGCAAGCCUGAUCCAGCAAUGCCGCGUGUGUGAAGAAGGUCUUCGGAUUGUAAAGCACUUUCGACGGGGACGAUGAUGACGGUACCCGUAGAAGAAGCCCCGGCUAACUUCGUGCCAGCAGCCGCGGUAAUACGAAGGGGGCUAGCGUUGCUCGGAAUGACUGGGCGUAAAGGGCGCGUAGGCGGAGAUAUCAGUCAGAUGUGAAAUUCCUGGGCUUAACCUGGGGGCUGCAUUUGAGACGGUAUUUCUAGAGUGUGAAAGAGGGUCGUGGAAUUCCCAGUGUAGAGGUGAAAUUCGUAGAUAUUGGGAAGAACACCGGUGGCGAAGGCGGCGACCUGGUUCAUAACUGACGCUGAGGCGCGAAAGCGUGGGGAGCAAACAG